GUUGUCCAUUUUCUAUUCAAAUUAUUCCCUACAACUCCCCAUAUUUAUUUGAAAUAUUAUUUAUUUAUUUGACAUCAAUGAAUAGUUAAAGAGAAAUAUCCAAACCCAUGUCUUAUUAUUUUCAAUAAUCCAUAAUUGUAGCAAUGAAAUACUAUUCUUCCUCCCCCAAGUGAUAAAUGAUAGAUCACAAAUCUUUAUAAGAUUUUCUCUACAAAGGCCCAGAAAUACUUUGUUUAUGUAUCAUUGGAAAGUGCAUUAA
Long non-coding RNA from Ipomoea nil (Japanese morning glory), 259 nucleotides. RefSeq lists it as uncharacterized. Lineage: Eukaryota; Viridiplantae; Streptophyta; Magnoliopsida; Solanales; Convolvulaceae. The transcript is spliced from 3 exons. The record is from RefSeq and is a predicted model, not a curated record.